UGACAGGGAUGUGUAUCGAAUUUGUUCACCUGAAAUACCAUGUGGCAGUGAGAGCUUUUUAACCCGGAGACAA
This is a small nucleolar RNA of Pelusios castaneus (West African mud turtle), 73 nucleotides long. The record is from Ensembl. NCBI's taxonomy places the organism in Eukaryota, Metazoa, Chordata, Testudines, Pelomedusidae.